Molecule: ribosomal RNA, 92 nt
Filed under: Negativicoccus succinicivorans
Lineage: Bacteria; Bacillati; Bacillota; Negativicutes; Veillonellales; Veillonellaceae
Source: RNAcentral
CACCUGUACCCAUGCCGAACACAGUAGUUAAGCUCGUAAACGCCGAAAGUACUUGGCUGGAAACGGCCCGGGAGCAUAGGUAGCUGCUGAUU